This 324-nucleotide ribosomal RNA is filed under the name uncultured eukaryote. Its description in RNAcentral is "partial 18S ribosomal RNA". It matches the Rfam family "Eukaryotic small subunit ribosomal RNA", at positions 1470 to 1796 of the family's 1831-position model. The record is from RNAcentral.
CCCUUAGAUGUUCUGGGCUGCACGCGCGCUACACUGAAGCUAUCAACACGUUUUCCCUCCCUGAGAAGGGCGGGUAACCUUUUGAAUCAGCUUCGUGGUAGGGAUCGGGGCUUGCAAUUGUUCCCCGUGAACCAGGAAUUCCUAGUAGACGCGAGUCAUAAGCUCGCAUCGAUUAAGUCCCUGCCCUUUGUACACACCGCCCGUCGCUACUACCGAUUGAACGUUUUAGUGAGGCAUUUGGACCGACGCAUGUCAGUUUAACCGCUGGUUUGUGUUGGAAAGACUUCCAAACUUGAGCGUUUAGAGGAAGUAAAAGUCGUAACA